RNAcentral lists this long non-coding RNA (1630 nucleotides) under Sus scrofa (pig). RNAcentral's name for it is "lncRNA (ENSSSCG00035046565.1)". Lineage: Eukaryota; Metazoa; Chordata; Mammalia; Artiodactyla; Suidae. The record is from RNAcentral.
CACAGAAUGGGAGAAAAUCUUUGCAAACCAAGUAACUGACGAGAGAUUAAUCUCCAAAAUAUGCAAGUAUGUUAUCCUUGUAUAUUUUGAAGUUAUGGGAUAUUUUAUAUUUUGAAAUUAUGGGCUGAUAGAAAUGGUUGGAUUAAUCCUUUCCGUGUGUAUACUUAUUGUCAUUAAGUCAAGAUUUUUUAACUCCUAGACUGAUGUACACAUACACAAUAUACAUAUAUGGCCAGACAAUUGUAUUAUAAUUUUCUCUAGAAAGAAACUUUAACAUAUAUUUAUUUUAUACUUCAGCAUAAAAGAAAAGCUCAUUUAAGGCAAAUAUAAUUUACAAAUAGCUAAAGGGCUUGCAGAUACAGAAUACUGGAGUUCCCAUUGUGGUGCAGUGGGUUAAGAAUCUGACUGUGGUGGAGGUUGCUAUGGAGACAGAGGUUUGAUACCUGGCCUGGUGAGGUGGGUUAAAGGAAUCAGCAUUGCCAUAGCUGUGGCUUGGAUUCAAUCUAUGUCCUGGGAACUUCCAUUUGCCACAGGCACAGCCAUUAAAAAGAAAAAAAGAAAGAAAAUACAGAAUACCAUAUCCAACAUUUCCUAAAUUUCCUCUCUAACACCUAAAGACAUAAAGUUCUAUUGCAUAAGAGAGUGGUUCAACAUUUAAAACAAAAAUAUUUCUAUAAAAAGAAUUGCUUUUUCUAUAAAAAGCCUCCUAGCAGGCUUUACAAAGGAAAUAUAUCAGAUCAAAUGCUUUGCAUCAACUAAAAUAAAGCCCACACUUAAUAGGCCAGUUUUUUAGUUAACUUGAUAUUCAUAACAUGUCAAUUCACUCAGUUAAUGUUUAUGAACAUCAAAAUACUAAAAAUUACUGAUAAUAAAGGGACAUGUCACAAAGACUCUUUUUCUUAAAGUCCAGUUUGAAUAUAGUUAUUUAUUACAACCAACCUUUUUAUAGUACGUUAGAGUAUGCAAGGCACUUUCACAUGUAUUCCUUCACUCAACUUAUAGCCAUAUUCAAAUUUGUAACUGAAAUAAGAACUCCUUCAAUGUUUCUUAAAAACAGCAAAAUAUAUAUCCCAUUUAUCUUAUUAGAAUAGAAUUCCUUUUCCAUGUAUUAUUUCUCAAGGAGUGGGUGUAUAGAGAAGACAUUUGCAUAGCCAAGAUAAUAUCUGCAACAUAUUUUACUCAUCUUUUUUAAAUCCAGUUUUCUAGGUUAAAAUAUGUAUUUUGGGGUAAAGAGGGAGUUUUCUAGACUGAAAAUAUGGUUUUUUGCGAGGAGGGAGGAAACCAUGUGGGGAGCCUGCAUCAUAUGAGAGGGUGAAACAAAUUGCAUUUGAAAAAUAUGAAGACAAUAUACAGAUGUAUAUUACUUUCUUAAUAUGAAAACUAAUUUGUUCUGCAUUAAAACCCGAGUCCAAAAUUGCAGUUUCCCAUUUUUAAGCUGUUUUAUUUUUCAUGGAUCACCUUCAGAGAGGCUCAAUCUCUGAGUAACAAAUCCUCAAAAGGAAGGGUAUACUUUUCAAGUAUUUCUGUUUUUCAGUUUGAAUUAGAAUUAUUUUCAUAUGAAUAUGUAUAUAUGUGAUCUUUUAUAUAUAAAGAUUUUUUUUUAAAUAAAGUAAGUAUCCUCACUGUCUCA